GACGAACGCUGGCGGCGUGCUUAACACAUGCAAGUCGAACGGAAAGGCCCUGCUUUUGUGGGGUGCUCGAGUGGCGAACGGGUGAGUAACACGUGAGUAACCUGCCCUUGACUUUGGGAUAACUUCAGGAAACUGGGGCUAAUACCGGAUAGGAGCUCCUGCUGCAUGGUGGGGGUUGGAAAGUUUCGGCGGUUGGGGAUGGACUCGCGGCUUAUCAGCUUGUUGGUGGGGUAGUGGCUUACCGAGGCUGUGACGGGUAGCCGGCCUGAGAGGGUGACCGGCCACAUUGGGCCUGAGAGACGGCCAAGACUCCUACGGGAGGCAGCAGUGGGGAAUAUUGCACAAUGGGCGGAAGCCUGAUGCAGCAACGCCGCGUGCGGGAUGACGGCCUUCGGGUUGUAAACCGCUUUCGCCUGUGCCGAAGCGUGAGUGACGGUAAUGGGUAAAGAAGCCCCGGCUAACUACGUG
RNAcentral lists this ribosomal RNA (468 nucleotides) under uncultured bacterium. Its description in RNAcentral is "partial 16S ribosomal RNA". It matches the Rfam family "Bacterial small subunit ribosomal RNA", at positions 28 to 507 of the family's 1533-position model. The record is from RNAcentral.